GCUUAGCCCUAAACAUAAAUAGUACAAUACACCCACUAUUCGCCCGGGGACUACGAGCAUUAGCUUAAAACCCAAAGGACUUGGCGGUGCUUUAGAUCCACCUAGAGGAGCCUGUUCUAGAACCGAUAACCCCCGUUCAACCUCACCCUUCCUUGCUCUUUUCCGCCUAUAUACCGCCGUCGCCAGCUUACCCUAUGAAGGACUUACAGUAAGCAAAAUUGGCACAGCCCAGAACGUCAGGUCGACGUGUAGCGUAUGGAAGGGGAAGAAAUGGGCUACAUUCCCUAACACAGUGAACACGAAAGGCGCACUGAAACGUGCACCAUGAAGGAGGAUUUAGCAGUAAGCAGGAAGUAGAGUGUCCCGCUGAAACCGGCCCUGAAGCGCGC
Molecule: ribosomal RNA, 389 nt
Filed under: Scortum hillii (leathery grunter)
Lineage: Eukaryota; Metazoa; Chordata; Actinopteri; Centrarchiformes; Terapontidae
Description: partial 12S ribosomal RNA
Rfam family: Bacterial small subunit ribosomal RNA
Source: RNAcentral